UUUAGAUUGUAAAAAGAAACUCGAAAAAACAAGCUUCCCUCCAACCUCGUUUGCAGCUUAACUCAUAAAGACCAUCCACAAGUGUUAUUCCGAUUCUGAUGGAUCGCUUUAAUUUUAUGCCUCAUCUGCUUUCGUUCCCACAGCCCAGAGCCCGGAUGUGGGUGAGUGAAGACAAGGCAUACCUCGGUGUGACCACUUUCCAGAAUUCAGAUGACGCGGUAUUUCAUCUGCUACAACGUGAAGCAUUCGCCAACGAAAUCAGUGGAGUCGAGAGGAUUUGAAGUUUGAGGGCGUCCCUGGAGGAAUAGUGCCACUGAGCCCCUCCCGGACGUGGGAUUUGUGUAGGGACUAAUCCGAGGAGAGCAGUGUUGAGUCGUGGGAAGGGACUGGUGUCUGUCUUCUGGUGCUAGGCCAGGUCUUAGGACUUCCAGCUUCCAUUGUGGUUCACUCUAAAGUGAGUUUGGCGGCCUUCCUCUGCUGCUUUGUUCCCCUCAGCCCCUGACCUCCCUCACACGUGCUCUCCGAGUGAUCCCUUCUGCCACGCCACGAUGCAGUCACACAUAGACGGGAGGCCCAGUCUUGACAUUUCCGUUCCUAGAACUAUGAACUAAAUAUCUUUUUUCGGGCUAGAGAGAUGGCUCAGCGGUAAAGAGCACUGGCUGCUCUUCCAGAGGACGUGAGUUCAAAUCCCAUCAACCGCAUGGUGGCUCACAACCAUCUAUAAUAGGAUCCAAUGCCCUCUUCUGGUGUGUCUGAAGAAAAGACAGUGUGCUCACAUACAUAAAACAAAUAAAUAUAUCUUUGAAAAUAACCUUUCUUCCUCUCCUUCUUUUAUUGUUUUUAGAAACAGAAUUUCUCUGUGUAUCCCUGGCUGUCCUGGAACUCAUUCUGGUCUCAAACACAGAGAUCCGCCUGCCUCUGCCUCCCAAGUGCUGGGAUUGAAGAUGUGCACCACCAUGGCUUAGCUAAUUUCUUUUUUCUUUUAAUAUACCCAAUCUCUGGUGUUUUAUUAUAAUGACACAAAGAGAAAAUAACAAAGCUAUAAC
This 1046-nucleotide long non-coding RNA is filed under the name Rattus norvegicus (Norway rat). RNAcentral describes it as "long non-coding RNA NONRATT031846". Lineage: Eukaryota; Metazoa; Chordata; Mammalia; Rodentia; Muridae. The record is from RNAcentral.